AACGAACGCUGGCGGCAUGCCUAACACAUGCAAGUCGAACGAGACCUUCGGGUCUAGUGGCGCACGGGUGCGUAACGCGUGGGAACCUGCCCUUAGGUUCGGAAUAACUCCCCGAAAGGGGUGCUAAUACCGGAUAAUGUCUUCGGACCAAAGAUUUAUCGCCUUUGGAUGGGCCCGCGUUCGAUUAGCUGGUUGGUAGGGUAAAAGCCUACCAAGGCGAGGAUCCAUAGCUGGUCUGAGAGGAGGAGCAGGCACACUGGGACUGAGACACGGCCCAGACUCCUACGGGUGGCAGCAGGGGGGAAUAUUGGACAAUGGGCGAAAGCCUGAUCCAGCAAUGCCGCGUGGGUGAAGAAGGUCUUCGGAUUGUAAAGCACUUUCGACUGGGACGAUGAUGACGGUACCCGUAGAAGAAGCCCCGGCUAACUUCGUG
This 433-nucleotide ribosomal RNA is filed under the name uncultured bacterium. Its description in RNAcentral is "partial 16S ribosomal RNA". It matches the Rfam family "Bacterial small subunit ribosomal RNA", at positions 29 to 507 of the family's 1533-position model. The record is from RNAcentral.